Molecule: long non-coding RNA, 30724 nt
Filed under: Citrus maxima (pomelo)
Lineage: Eukaryota; Viridiplantae; Streptophyta; Magnoliopsida; Sapindales; Rutaceae
Description: long non-coding RNA (CMAX_LNC003744)
Source: RNAcentral
AACCUGAUAACUCACACAAACAAAAACAACUUGCCUAAAGUUUAAUAUUUCGAGCAGAACAGUAAAGAAGAUGAUAUCUAUUGAUGCUAAAAUUUGACCUGUGUUACCCUGAUGUCAAAAGUCAUAGCAUCUCAUGUGGGCAAAAUCUUCGCAACACGAGAUGCUUGCAAAAUUGGAGCAGCAUCUUAUCACCUGUAAUUUAAUUGAGACAAUAACUUUCCCCAACCAUUUCAAUGCAUUAUUGGCAACUAAAUUCAGAGGGUGCUAAUUAAAUACCCUUUUAACAAUAUCUUCUUAUUCUUCUUCAAUCUAACAAUUAUUUGGAAAAUCUAAAUGACAAUCAUGCAUCGAUGGCAUGAAAAUUUGGCUACAAAGUAGCCUGGAAAAGGCUGCUCUCUGAAUGAGAGCAUGAAUUCAAACAAAUAUGAUGAAUGAAUAAAUAAAGGCAUAAUACCACAAGAAGUAAAACUUUUCCCCAGAUUUCUGUUUCUGUUUGUGCUAAAACCAAUGGAAACCGAUGGAAAUGAAUUUCUACGAAUUAGACAUAUCAGCCAAAACAGGUACUCCGUACAAGCAAAGUAAAAGAGGGUUACAAAAAAUUUUAAUAUUGAUAUGAUAAUUAAAAUUAUAAUGAAAAUUUCAGUUACCAUAUAAUUAAUAGAUAACUCUGUACACAAUGAUUUAUUGCAUAUUAAGAUUGUAUACCUGAAUUUUAAUUGCUAUACAAAAUAUGGUAGUAUCAUUAGGAGACCGCACCAAAUGUACCGAAUUGAAUGUGCCUUUUCACAGCCAUUGUACAAGCUUUGAAGCUUUACCACAAAUGCUUUCUCAAACCCGUGAUCAUGAUGCACCCGAGAGAUGCAAGAUAUGAAAUUGUUACUACAGCAGGCAAUAACCACAGUGUUAAAACAAAUGUUUAUACAGGAUAAAUGAUUCCAAGAAUGAAACAAGAUAGCAAUGAUGAUCUCAGCACCUUAACAUCACGCAAUAAUAAUCAUCAUGUCUUUCAAGCAGCUAUCCAUCCUCAAUUGAAACAGAGCAGAUCCGGCCAUCACUUCCUUCUUCAAAGUCCAGCAACCAAACGUUGCACAAUAACCACAGUGAUAAUCCUUGGUUACCCCAAUGUUCUCCAUAGAGUCUCCAAAGUCAAUCUAAAAAUGAAAUGCAGGUGGAAAUCAAAAUUCUAUUAACUAAAUAAAAUAUAAAGUGCAAUGCUUGUGCUUGAGCUUGCUUUAACAUCAUCAUAAUAGCGAAUUUUGAUACACCUUUACUUCUCUGUGGUUCAAUCAUUUACUUCCCUGUUCUUGUUUAUUCACAACAAGAUAUCAAUAGAAGAUGAUGGAAAUGAAAUUCUAUAAAAUAAAGCAAGUGAAUUACCAGUAGACCAUUUUAGCAAUCCUUUGGCUAAACUUUUCAUUUUCUUAGCACACUGUCCUGCAGUACUGCCUGCAUCAUUAAAACCAAAUUAGAUUGGACCUGUGAAUUGCUAGUGUGGUUCUGACAUUUCCUCGAAUCCCUGGUGAACAUAAUUAAACUCGUAUGAAAUAAAACAAAGUGGGCUAAUGUACUACUAAAAACAAUUACACAAUUACUUUAAAGAAUUAAUGUCACAUAAAUUAUAUAUAAAAAAAUACGAUUAUCAUUAUACAAGAUAAAAUUGAUAAUUUAGUUUUCGACAUUACUGCAAAUGUAUGAAGGAGAUUUUGUCACUCAGGAAGUUACACAUAACAAAUUUCCGUACAUUAAAAAAUAAAUUACAUUGGGAUUUUCUAUGAUGUUGUAUGAAAUUUUACAAAAAAGCACAUAUUUUUUAAAAGUAAAUAAAUAUAGAAAUUUCAACAGACUAAACUUGUAUUUUUUUUUUAUUUAAUCUUUAGAAAACAAGUUUAACAUAUUUGAUAACUAGGAAGUUUUACAUAUUUAUACCAUGAUUGAUUCUAUAUAGAAUUAUUAAAUAAUAAAGUAAUGCCAUAAUCUAAUUGGUCUUGUUAUUGACAUGUACUCACGCAUUCUAUAUUUCUAACUUUGUACAUUUUAUUGAUAUGUACAAAUUGUCAAUGUUUGCAGUGUCGUUGUUUGAAGUAACAACAAAGUAAAAUAGAGGUGAGAAAUUACCGGUGGGUGAUAGUAAUUGCAACCAUUCGAGAAUUUACCACUCGGACUCGAUGUAGGGAAUGUGAGAUAUCUUAUGCCAGUCUUCUCCUUCCCCCUCUCUAUAACGGUUUUCCAGAAGAGGACAUCUGUGAAUAAUCAAUUCCUGCAGCGUCGUCGUCCGAAGAAGGUAAUCCGGCAGCACCUUUAAUUUGGGGCAAUACCCAAUUUCCAAGGAAGAAAGACGUGGUAUGUCUGUUGUCUUGCGAUCUUCUAGAAUGGGCAGUUCUUCUAGAAGAUCACAAAAAUAAAUACGCAGUUCCUGCAGUGCCGUCGAUUGAAGAAGGUAAUCCGGCAGCGCCUUCAAUUUGGGGCAACCUCUAAUCCACAAGGAAGAAAGACGGGGCAUGAUGGAGAUGUUUUCCUUCCUCGUAAUCCUGUAAUUCCACUCUUCCAACUCUUCCAUUCCCCCAAUGUCGAGUGAUUUUAAUUUGGGAAAGGCAGUAACUGAUGAUGACGAUGAAGAUGAAGAUGGGUCAUCCUCACUGCUUUCUUCUAUUCCCAAAAACUCAUUACCCACUCUUUUUACACUUUUCAAAAUGUAUAGUUGGAGUUUUUCCAGAGGUAAUUUUCCCAAAGGAGGCAAAUGCUCACAGUUAAAACAAAACCAAAGAUUUAAUUCCCUUAGAUAGGUUAGUGAAGUCAACCAUUUGGGAAAAAUGUCGCCUCCGUAGAAACAAAUCUGUAAUUCCUCUACAUUCAAAUGCGGUUGUAAAGCUUCAAGAAGUUGUUUAUCUUUCUCAUUCUUCCUCCUCCCUUCUUCGCCUUCCCCAUCUACGACUCCAUCAAACACAAGAUGCAAACGAAGGAGGUUUUCCAUAUUGUGAAGUCCUAUUCUCUCAGCCUCAUCUAAAUGUGAUACAUUACUCAGCCCUUCUAUUCCACAUUUACGAAGGAGUUGAAGAUUUUUCAGAGAUUCAAGCCUACACGUGCUGCCGCCAUCAACACCUCCACCCACAACAAACUUUUCUAAUGUUCGAAGACUGGUUAAUUUGGAAAUCCCUAUUGGCAUGUACUUCAAUGAAUAAGUUUGACCAUUCAGUAAACUCCUCAUGUUCAUUAACUUCCCAAUCCCCGCUGGCAAUUCUCUAAGAUUUGGGCACCGCCUAAUAUCUAGCUUUCGUAAAUUAUAUAAUUCACACAAAGUCUCAGGCAGUCUCUCUAUACAUAAUUCAGAUAAAUUAAGAUAUUUUAAAUGUAUCAAUUUUCCAAUAUUUUCUGGAAUUUCUCUAAUGAAAUUUGGGCUAGGAUGAGAAAAUGAGGACAACUGUCUUAUAACUAAUGCCCUUAAACACGCCAAUUUACUAAAUAACCCCGGAAGGAUGCUACUACGAAGAGACGGACCUUUAUCAUAAAUUAAGAGGGUCCGCAAUCUAUUAAGUCCAUAAAUGGACAUAGGAAGUGGAGCGCCUCCUUCAAAAUUUAAUCCUAGGUGACAGACUUUGUCACCAAAAGAAUUUAUGACUGACUCUUUGUUACCAUCAAUUUCUAGCCACAAACAUUCUUUUCUACUUACAAAUUGGGCAAAAUCAUGUACUAUGUCAUGCAUUUUACACCUCAUAAACUCAUUAUCGCCACCGUAUGUUUCAAACUCUUGAAAGAAAGAGUGUGUUGCUAAGAUGUUGAAAUACUCUUCUCCAACCAUCUCCAUUUCUUCGUCUUCUUCUGCAUUAAGGUAACCUUGAGCCAUCCACAUAUCAAUCAAUUCCUUUUUAUGCAUAUAGUGGUCUUUUGGAAAGACAGCACAAUAUGAGAAACAUUGUUUUACCAUAGAAUUAGAGGGCAAAUCGUUAUAACUCAACAACAAAGGAGCCAAAAGACCUUUCCUAAUCUCUUCUACCUUCCACAUUUCACUCUCUAAAAUUCUUUGCCACUCUUUUACUGUACAUUUAGAGCGCAAGAGAUUCCCUAUUACCUUUACAGCAAGAGGCAGGCCUUUGCACUUGCGUGCAAUUUUUCGUCCGAUUGGUUCUAAUUUUUCACAAUCCUCGAAAGAGCGACCGAAAAAUGCCAACCGCUUGAACAACAACCAGCAUUCCUCUUCAGCUAGUUGUUCAAUGGAGAUAAUAUCUAACUCUAUUGUUCGCAUCAUACGUGCAACUGACUCAUUACGUGUGGUAACCACAAUUUUACUUCCAGGAAGACCAUUCUUUAGACAAAAGAAGAAUUGAUCCCAUAUAUUAUAAUUCCCAUCCCAUACAUCAUCUAAGACAAUAAAAAUUUUUUUUCCUUCAAUUGAUCUAUGGAUAUGGCUCAUAAGAGAUUGGAAUUCGCUUAAACCAGAAGCUUCUUUUGACUCGCCUAGUCCUUCAAUAAUUGCUUUGGCGACCCUCAUCUCAUCAAAAGUGUCUGAUACACACACCCAUAUAACUUUUUCAAAAUUUAUUUUCACCCCAUCAUUAUUAUAGGCUAGUUGUGCAAGAGUGGUUUUACCUAUACCCCCUAACCCAACCAGUGAGAUGAUAUGAGGAUGUUGUUCGCCACUCUCACCCAACAACUUACCUAACAGCUCAUUUUUCUCGUCAUCUCUACCAAAAAUCUCUCCCUCAUCAAUCAAGGAGGUGGUUGGCACUCGCUCUGAUUUCUUAACAUUGUUACUCACAUUCUCAACAAAUUUAAACAUAUCUUUUCGAGUGGCAAUACCAUCUAGCUUUUCACUGAUUUCGCUAAUCUUGACAGCAACAUCAUCACGAAGAAUGAGUUGUUUGAAACCACCUAAGUAGUUUGAGGCAGCACGAAAGAAGGAACAUACCUUCUUCUUAGGAGGAGCAAGAGCAAGAGCAUCGUCAUCAUCGCCGCCCUCAUCAAGCUGCAAUUUCCGUGUUUCAGUGAUCCACUCUUCCAACACAUCUUCCAUGUCGUAGGAUGCGUCUCUGAGCUGAUCCAGCCAAAGAGUAACAGCUUUGUCCUGCUUCAUUUGCCUCUGCUCUGCAUCUUACAGUACAGCUUGAAUGACUUGAAGAUUGGUAGUAAGCUUUCCCACUUCUUGUUCGACACCCGUCACAAGCCUCCACUUUUCUUUCACCUGAUCUUGAGCAAUGGAUUUCAGCUGGUCCAGGAGAGAGGAAACGAUCGCAUGAGCCAUUCAGAGGAAAGUAGGUUUUAUGUAUUCUGUGAGAAUGUUCAUUCAAGCAUGUUUGCAUUCUUCUUAUACCAUAUGAGAUAUUUAAUUUUUACCCUCGAGUCAAUGUCAAUAAUUGUACAGCGUCUGCCCUGUUUCUCUGAUUCAUAAUAAUUCAUUGUUAAUUCUGCAGAGUACACAGCGUCAGCACUUGUGAAAUUUCUUACAUUUGUAAAAUCAUGCAGCCGACCCUUGUGAACUAACUAAUUAACUAAAUUUUCUUACAUUGUCAAUAAGUUAUGAUUAUUGUGAAUUUUCCAUCCCCUAUAUAAAUUCUUAGAUUUAUUUAAAUUGUGAGUCAUAGAAGUAUAUUACCUAAAUUAUUUUAUCAGGCCAUGUUCCGAUACUAGGAGUAAGUACGGAAUUGGACUAAUUUUGUGAUUAUCUAUUUAUCUCAUAUUUGAUAAGCUUAAUUGAAUUGGAUUUAGGAACCAAAUUUAAAUUUAAUCCUAAAAUUAUGGAAUUGAUAAUCCUAAUUUACGCAUAACUUUAGUUGGGAUAAAAUUAAAGAAAAAAAGUUAUCCAUUUAUGAGACUUUAAUUUAUAUCAUUAUCGUUUAUUUAUGCUUAAUAUUUAUUUAUUUUUUUUAAUUUAUGAUUUACUUAAAAUUUAUUUUUAUUUAUUAUCUAUCAUCUGAUUAAAUUAGAACUUUACUUCUACUAACUCUUGAUAUUAAUUUUUCAUUACUUGCAUAUUUGAUAAUUUGUCAAUAAAAUUAACCAUUUAAUAAUUUAUUGCAUAAUAGAUUGUAUUAAACUUACUAAUCACUAAAAAAAUAUUUAAAAUCAUCAUGAAAAUUAAUAAUACCGUCAAUUAAUUGAUUUUAUAUACUUUUUUAAAUAUUUGAUAAAAAAUAAUUAAGUAUUUAAAUUUUUAUUUCAUUUUUUUAUUUGUUUAUUUUAUUAUGGAUACCCAAUAACUUGCAAUAUAAUUAAUUUUCUUAUUCAGACUACUCAGCAUCAGCUCCUAUAAAAUUUCUUACAUUAUAAGCAACAAAAUAUUUAUAAACUACAACAAAGGGCUUAAAUCAAUCCACCGAUUAACCUUUUGAAGUUAUAUAUAAUAUAUUAACUGUUGAUCUAGAAUAGUCUUAGUGGAUAGAUUUUUUUUAAUUAUAAAUAUCAAUAAAUUUUUUUUAUCGUUUAAUAGAUAUUGAUGAAAUUAUAUGGAGUAAUUUCGCCCAAUCAUAUAUAUUAUAACAAAAGUUGGAAAAGAGAAAAAUAAAACAAAAGUUGGAAAAAUCAUGCAGUCGUUGGGAAUUUCGAAAUUUGAGAAUUUUGCCCGUAGCUACAGGCUGCAGCGAUUUUUGACUUUCAUGAUGCAAACAAACCAAUCAUCAUUAAUUUCAAUAGAAAGAAGUAUUCUAGGUGGAAUUGAUUUCUGGAGCAGAAUAUGAUGUAUUUGGGACUUCCUACUCUAUUAGAUAGGUUAAUAACAUGUUAAUUGUCACAUCAUUAAUUUUAGAUUAUAAAUUUUAUAUUCAAACUUUGUAUGACUGCUCCUUUUUCAUUUGAAAAAAAAAAAAAAAAUUAACUUCUAGCAUGAUCUAAUUAAUUGAUCUUGUUUCAAAAGAAUCAAAAAAAUAAAUAAAAUAAAAUAAAGUAAUGCCAUAAUCUAAUUGGUCUUGUUAUUGACAUGUACUAAUGCAUUCUAUAUUUCUAACUUUGUACAUUUUAUUGAUAUGUUUCUCUUGAGAGAUAAGAAUCAUUAUGUGGCAAAAUUUUAUUAAAGCUGGGAUUAUUUAUGUUCUAAUACUUUGAACAUUAAUUUUUAAUCUACUCUUUAGAAUACAAAAAUAAUCCUUACCUAAACAUCUUUCAUAAAUGUUUUUUGCUGGGGCUGCUAAAAUUCAUAAUCUAAUAUUAGUUGAUGUGGCAUGUGUCCUAUCACAUAAAUGUAGAUAAUAAUAAUUAAUUCAUUAACAAAAUGAAAAAUGUUAGUUUACAAAAUACAAAUCCGAAUUUUUUGUGUGUUAGAGGGAAUUUAAAAGGGAGAGACUAAACAAAUGUGGUGACAAAUUACACGUAUUACCAAAAUUGAAAAUACAAAGUUUAGGCAACUGGAAACAUCUCUGUCAAUGGCAAUGAACCCAUUACCUCCAUUUAUAAUUAACCAAAAAUCAAAUAAAUUAAAAAAGAAAACACAAAGCAAGGAUAACUACUAGUUGUUUUGAUCAUCCCUGCUUCUUUUUCUUAGCAUAGCUCUUGUAAUGAAAAUUAACAAAAAGGGCCAAAAGGGAAGCAUUAAACACAGUAUUGAAGCACCAACCCCAAAACACAGGGAAACCAAAUCCCGUGAAAUGAUAAUUCAGCAUCAAAAUGAAAAAUGUUAUGGAUGGCUGUGAUGGGUCUGAGGAUGUGGGGUCCAAUGAGAGGUGAUGAUGAUGGUGAUGUUGAUGUUGAUGUGUGGUAGAGGAUGGAUGUGAGGGAGAGGUAAGUAAUGAUGGAGUGAAUGAGGAUGCGUGGGAAGGAAGCUAGGGUUUGGUUUUGAGUCCAUGUGAAGUUGAGGACUUGUGGGUGGCUUACAAGCAAUAUUGGAGUGUUAAGCUGAUUGAAUUUGAACAGUGCUACUCCAAUAACAUCAAUAUGGUUGAUGACCGCUCUAUCAAAUCCUUUGGAUAAAUGAAUUGACCGCUCUAAAAUAAAUGAAUGAGAUAGGAUAAAUUCGAAUAAAUUAAUCUGCAUAAUGACACAAGAAACAAAUAUAAAUUGACCGCAAGUAGAAAUAUACUUUUGUUAUAUUUAGAGCAUCUUCCAAUUUCUUUCCCUUGAGCUCUGUUUCUGCGAGUGCUCAAAAGCAAGACACAGGCCUCAAGAUAUAAUUAUCAUCAUCAAUCUUUUGCAGCCACAUGCAGUACUUGGAAAAUGUUUAUGGCCCUAAAUAACUGGAAAAUCAGAAAACAUUAAGAACAAGAGACUAAUCAUUUUAAUCGCAACAAAACAUGCACACUAUGAAAAUAUAAAAUUGAAUUACUUCGAAUGGAUGUGCCUCUUAACAGGAAUUGCACAAGCUAAUGAGCAAGUGAGCCUUCGAAUGAAAAUCUAAAUCCUUGCAGCCUGCGUCAUGCAGCUUCUCCCAAUGAGUAAGUGAACCUUGAACAGUUAUCACUCAGCUCAAACUAAAAUGAAAUUACUGUGGACAUGUGAAUUAAAAAUAGAUGUAAAAGUAGUUUUCUCAAAGCAAAGUCAAGAUAAGAGAUUAACUCUACUCCUUAUUUACAUUAAAAAUAACGAACAAUGGAAAACAGAGCUAGAGAAGAACUUACCUGUGCGUUGAGAUCAUGUGGGGAAUGUGAGAUAUCUUCUUAGAUUUGGUUUGGGAAACUCCAUCUUCUUCUGAAAGUUCUGACAGUUCCCUAAACCCAGGCCAAUACAAUUGCAACAGAAACUGCAUGCUUUAACCAGUAUCUGAUCAUCUCCUGUUAUUUCAAGACAAUAAUAACUUAAUUGCAACACUGCAUGCUUCAACCAAUAACCUUUUCGACUUCAACACUUCUUUUGUCCCCCACCCGAUGCCCUUUUCACAAUUCUAUGAAUCAGAUAAAUCAGCCUUCUUCACAAAACUAAAAUUUCGGUCCCCAUGUAGCAGAGUUUCUUAUUUUUCCUUUGUACACAAAUGCAGACACUUAAGCAAAUUAAGAUUUCUUACCUAAAGCAAAUUAGGAUUUCUUUUGAUCCUGCAAGUUACAAUUUCAGUCCCCAUGUAAUAGUAAAAAUUUGUACACAUAUUUAUAUAGCAAAUUAAUAUUUCAUACCUCACAAUAUUUAUCAUAACCAUCAAUCUUUAGAAACCACAUGCAGACUUGUUAAACUGUUUAUGGCCCAAAAUAACAGGAAAAUUAGAACAGAUUUUUAAGAAUGAGCGACUAAAUAUUUCAAUGGCAACUAAAAUUACACAUCUUGGAAAUCUGAAACUCAAGUACUCAGAACACUGUAAGUGCAUUGCAUAAUCUUGGGUAAAAAAUACACAGCAAUUAAACAAGCUGGGAACUUUAGUGCAAAUGCUUUUUCAUAAUCUUCAAUUGCAUAAGUCAGUUAGAAUCAAUCUUUCUUAAUCUUUCAAUUCACAUAUGAGAGCCUGAUAACACAAGGAAACACUGUAAGUGAAUUGUCAACUGUGACAAAUUUUGGGUAAAAAUUAUCAACUGUAGUUAUCUGCAUAACAUUUAGUGUCAACCCCAAAUUCCUUCCUGAUCCGUGGAAGCAUUUCAGCCCACAGACGGUUAGCUUUGUCAAUAUACGGCAACUCAGGAUUCUAUAUUUAAACUAUGAUGUUUGAUGACUUGCUGAUACAAAAGACAUUGCCCCAAGCACUUUUUUACAUUAGCUAAAAUCAAGCCAGUCACUUCCAUUUGUUGCAGUUUUAAUGCAGAAAGAAAAAAGGGGGAAAAAAAUCUGCAAGAUGCCACUUGUAAUACCGCAUGUUCGCAGGAGCAGAGUUAAAUAAUUACAAAAUUACAUUCUUUAUUGGCCACAAAGCUGCCUAGAAAAAGGCUUUAAAUUCUUAAUGAGACAACGUAUUCGAACAAAUAUGGUGAAUGAAGAGACAAAGGCAUAACACCUCGGGAAGUAAAGCUCUGUUUCUGUAUGUGCUCAAACCAAUGGAAACCCAUGGAAAUGAAUUUCUACGAAUUAGACAUGUCAGCCAAAACAGGUACUCUGUACAAGCAAAGUAAAAGAGAGUUACAAAAAAUUUUAAGAUAAUUAAACUUUUAGUCACCAUAUAAUUAAUAGAAAACUUUGUACACAAUGAUUUAUAUGAGAUUAAGAUUGUAUACCUAAGUUUUAAUUGCAAACUAAAUAUACACAACAUGAUAUUAGCAUUAGAAGACUGCACCAAAACGCACCGAAUUGAAUGUACCUCUUAACGGCCAUUGUACAUGCAUUGAAAGUUUACCGCAAAAGCUGUUUCAAACGUGAUGCAUCUUAGAGAUGCAAGAUGAGAAAUUGUUAUUACAACUAGCAUUGAAACAUGUGUGAAAACUGUUAAUGGACCUAAAUAACUUGAAAAUCAGAAAAGAUUAGGAAUGAGUGACUAAGCCUGCUAAUCGCAACUAAACGUGCAAACCUUGAAAAUCCAAAAUUGUACUCGAUGAAUGUGCAAUUGCUCAAGCAGGUAAAUUUCCUGCAAAGGCUCUUACAAACCCUCAAAGAUGAUACUCUACAUACCAUGGUAACCUGAGUAACAAAAAGAAACACAGUGAAUAUUAAAGGGCAUUCUGACAAUGCAAAUUUGUGUAAAUUAACAACUGCGGUUACCUGCAUAAUAGUGUCAAUACCGAAUUCCUUCCUCCAUGGAAGCAUGUGAUCAGCCCACAUGUGCUUUGCUCUGUAGCUUUUGAAUACCUGAAAUUGUUAUCACAACCAACGGUGAAAAAUGGGUGAAAAAAGGGUAAUAGUAGCAUAAUUGAAUUUGCUUAUAGAGGAUAAACCGAUCAAAGAAAAAAACAAGACAGAAAUGAUGAUCUUAGUACCUUAAUAUCAUGCAAUAAUAAUCAUCAUGCCUUCUAGGCAGCUAUCCAUCCUCAAUUGAAACAGAGCAGACCUGGCCAUCACUUUCUUCUUCAAAGUCCAGCAACUGAACGUUGCACACAACACCACAGUGGAAGUUCCAUCACCAGCCUAAUCCUUGAUUACCCCAAUGUUCUCCAUAGGGUCUUCAAAGUCAACCUAAAAAUAAAAUGAAAAUGCAAUGCAUUAUUAUUAGGGAUCUAGUGCUUGAGCUUGCUUUGACAUCAUGGUAUUAGCAAAUUCUGAUAUAGCCAAAAUGGUGAAUAAGAUGACGUACUUGAUAAGAAAAACCUGAUUUAACAAAUAAUUAAGGAGCCGGUAACAAUCACAGAAUCUCAUCAUGUGGGGAACGCCUUGGCAACAGAAGAUGGUGCUUUCAUUCAAGCAAUAGCAACUUUCCAAUUUCAUAAGGUAGUUUAAUGGCCCUUUUAAGAACAUCUGCACCAGCCUAAUAAUUAUUCAUGGAAAUUAAUAAUCAGAAUCAUGUUAGAUUGAGAGAUGAAACAUAAUAAGCGAUUUGGCCACCAUAUAUGCAUUUAUCACCUUCAAUUUGCUCAUCUUUGUCUAGAGUAUUGCUUCUGCAUUAACUUAAUUAGCUUGCAAGCCACCUGAACAUGGUUUUAAAUAAAGUGUAAGAGCUCGAAUUCGAACGAAUUAAUCAAAUAUGCUGACAGGAGAAACAAAAGUAAAUAACCACAAGAAGUAGAAAUAUACUUUUGUUAUAUUCAGAGCAUCUUCUUGCGUCAAGUUCUUUUCCUUUAGCUCUGUUUCUGUUUGUGCUCAAACGCAAUGGCUCAAGGGCCAAGAUAAUUUUAUGACCAUCAAUCUUUUUGCAGCCACAGCAGACUUGAAAAAAUGAUUGUGGCCCUAAGGAACUUGAAAAUUAGAAAAGAUUCAGAAUGAGUGACUAAAUAUUAUAAUUGAAACUAACUAAACAUUAUAAUCGAAACUAAUUAAACGCCUAGAAAAUCUGAAACUGAGCAAUUGCUUCUGGUGGAAACUUUACUGCAAGGACUUUCUCAAACCCUUGAAGAUCACACUCUACCUGAUAACAAAGAAACAGUCAAUAUACGAAGAUGAUUUUACUAACAAGUGAGUGCUUACACAUAUUGGAAGGAUAAUGAUGAUUCAUAACCCAAAUCCCCAAUACUCCCUAUUAUCUCACUCAAGUUCGAGCUCCCAGAAUUCACUACUGUGAAGCUCUCACAACAAAAUUCCCUUCAAAGAUUCUCUACUCAAAUUUGAUGAUGAUGUCCCUCCAAAGGAGGCAAAAAAUCUAACACUGAUCAAAUUGGUUUGUGAACAAUUAAUCUUCCUGGCCAUCAUGCAUACCAGGUGUGGUGAGCAAUCUUCAUUAUGACAUUUGCCUUAAUAAGCAGCUUAGUUUCCUUAACCUGAUAACUUACACAAACAAAAACAACUUGAUUAAAGUUUAAUAUUUAGAGGCAGAACAGUAAAGAAGAUGAUAUAUAUUGAUACUAAAAUUUGACCUGUGUUAUCCUGACGUCAAGAAUCACAGCAUCUCAUGUGGGCAGAAUCUUCGCAGUACAAUAUGCUUGCAAAAUUGAAGCAGCAUCUUAUCACCUGUAAUUUAAUUAAGACAAUAACUUUCCCCAACCAUUUCAAUGCAUUAUUGCCAACUAAAUUCAGAGGGUGCUAAUUAAAUAGCCUUUGAACAAUAUAUUCUUAUUCUUCUCCAAUCUAACAAUUAUUUCGAAAAUCUAAAUGACAAUCACGCAUCGAUGGCAUCAAAAUUUGGCUACAAAGCAGCCUGGAAAAGGCUUUACUCUCUGAAUGAGAGCAUGAAUUCGAAACAAAUAUGAUGAAUGAAGAAAAUAAGGCAUAAUACCACCAAAAGUAAAACUUUCUCCCAGGGCUCUAUGUUUCUGUUUGUGCUAAAACCAAUAGAAACCGAUGGAAAUGAAUUUCUAGGAAUUAGACAUAUCAGCGAAAACAGGUAUUCUGUACAAGCAAAGUAAAAUAGGGUUACCAAAAUUUUUAAGAUUGAUAUGAUACUUGAAAAAUAGGUUUGCACAGAAUUAAUUAUUCUGUCAUUGAGAUUGUUCUUUUAUAGAGAUUUCCAGCGCACAUAAAACUAUUAAAUCAGUAAACUAAAUCACUGAUUUAAGGAAAGAAUAAUUUCUAGGUAGAUUUUCCUAAAAUACAUAGAUUUGCACCUAAAUAGCUAUGUUACAGCUAAUGACUAAUUUACAGCACAUAUUUUUUCUAAUUUUCUAACACUCCCCCUCGAGCUGGUUUGAAGAUAUCCUCCAUAGCCAGCUUGCCAACUAGAAAAUUGAACUGUUUUGUGUGUAGUCCUUUGGUAAAGACAUCAGCCACUUGUUCUCCAGUAGGAAUGUGCUCCAUAUGAACCAAUCCAUUAUCUAUCUUCUCCUUGAUGAAAUGCUUGUCAAUCUCCACAUGUUUUGUGCGGUCAUGAAGGACUGGAUUGUGUGCUAUUGAGAUUGCUGCCUUGUUGUCACAGUACAACUACAUAGGAGAUGAUUUUGUCGCUUUUAACUCUUCCAACAGCCUCCUAAUCCACAUGAUCUCACAAAUGCCAUGGGUUACAGCUCUAAAUUCAGCCUCAGCACUGCUCCUAGCUACCACAUUCUGUUUCUUGCUUCUCCAAGUAACCAAAUUACCACCUACAAAUGAACAGUAUCCAGAAGUGGAUCUUCGGUCUACUUUGCAGGUAAAUUUACUGCAAAGGCUCUUACAAGCCCUCAAAGAUGAUAUUCUACAUACCAUGGUAACCUGACUAACAAAAAGAAACACAGUGAAUAUUAAAGGGCAUUCUGACAAUGCAAAUUUGUGCAAAUUAACAACUGCGGUUACCUGCAUAAUAGUGUCAAUACCGAGUUCCUUCCUCCAUGGAAGCAUAUGAUCAGCCCACAUGUGCUUUGCUCUGUAGCUUUUGAGUACCUGAAAUUGUUAUUACAACCAGCGGUGAAAAUUGGGUGAAAAAAUGGUAAUAUUAGCAUAAUUGAAUUUGCUUAUAGAGGAUAAACCGAUCAAAGAAAACGACAAGAUAGAAAUGAUUAUCUUAGUACCUUAAUAUCAUGCAAUAAAAAUCAUCAUGCCUUCCAGGCAGCUAUCCAUCCUCAAUUGAAACAGAGCAGACCUGGCCAUCACUUUCUUCUUCAAAGUCCAGCAACUGAACGUUGCACACAACACCACAGUGGAAGUAGUUCCAUCACCAGCCUAAUCCUUGAUUACCCCAAUGUUCUCCAUAGGGUCUUCAAAGUCAACCUAAAAAUAAAAUGAAAAUGCAAUGCAUUAUUAUUAGGGAUCUAGUGCUUGAGCUUGCUUUGACAUCAUGGUAUUAGCAAAUUCUGAUAUAGCCAAAAUGGUGAAUAAGAUGAUGUACUUGAUAAGAAAAACCUGAUUUAACAAAUAAUUAAGAAGCCGGUAACAAUCACAUAAUCUCAUCAUGUGGGGAAUGCCUUGGCAACAGAAGAUGGUGCUUUCAUUCAAGCAAUAGCAACUUUCCAAUUUCAUAAGGUAGUUUAAUGGCCCUUUUAAGAACAUCUGUACCAGCCUAACAAUUAUUCAUGGAAAUUAAAAUUCAGAAUCAUAUUAGAUUGAGAGAUGAAAUAUAAUAAGCGAUUUGGCCACCAUAUAUGCAUUUAUCACCUUCAAUUUGCUCAUCUUUGUCUGGAGUAUUGCUUCUGCAUUAACUUAAUUAGCUUGCAAGCCACCUACAAAUGGUUUUAAAUAAUGUGUGAGAGUGUGAAUUCGAACGAAUUAAUCAAAUAUGCUGACAGGAGAAACAAAAGUAAAUAACCACAAGAAGUAGAAAUAUACUUUUGUUAUAUUCAGAGCAUCUUCUUGCGUCAAGUUCUUUUCCUUUAGCUCUGUUUCUGUUUGUGCUCAAACGGAAUGGCUCAAGGGUCAAGAUAAUUUUAUGACCAUCAAUCUUUUUGCAGCCACAUGCAGACUUGAAAAACUGGUCGUGGCACUAAGGAACUUGAAAAUUAGAAAAGAUUCAGAAUGAGUGACUAAAUAUUAUAAUCGAAACUAAUUAAACAUACACGCCUAGAAAAUCUGAAACUGAACUUCUCAAAUGUAUAUGCCUCUUCGCAGCAAUUGCUUGUGGUGGAAACUUUACCGCAAGGACUUUCUCAAACCCUUGAAGAUCACACUCUACCUGAUAACAAAGAAACAUAGUCAAUAUACGAAGAUGAUUUUACUAACAAGUGAGUGCUUACACAUAUUGGAAGGAUAAUGAUUACUCAUAACCCAAAUCCCCAACACUCCCUAAUAUCUCACUCAAGUGAGUACGAGCUCCCAGAAUUCACUACUGUGAAACUCUUACAACAAAAUUCCCUUUAAAGAUUCUCUACUCAAAUUUGAUGAUGAUGUCCCUCGAAAGGAGGCAAAAAAUCUAACACUGAUCAAAUUGGCUUGUGAACAAUUAAUCUUCCUGGCGAUCAUGCAUACCAGGUGUGGUGAGCAAUCUUCAUUCUGACAUUUGCCUUAAUAAGCGGCUUAGUAUCCUUAACCUGAUAACUUACACAAACAAAAACAACUUGAUUAAAGUAUAAUAUUUAGAGGCAGAACAGUAAAGAAGAUGAUAUAUAUUGGUACUAAAAUUUGACCUGUGUUAUCCUGACGUCAAGAAUCACAGCAUCUCAUGUGGGCAGAAUAUUCGCAGUACAAGAUGCUUGCAAAAUUGAAGCAGCAUCUUAUCACCUGUAAUUUAAUUAAGACAAUAACUUUCCCCAACCAUUUCAAUGCAUUAUUGGCAACUAAAUUCAGAGGGUGCUAAUUAAAUAGCCUUUGAACAAUAUAUUCUAAUUCUUCUCCAAUCUAACAAUUAUUUGGAAAAUCUGAAUGACAAUCAUGCAUCGACGACAUCAAAAUUUGGCUACAAAGCAGCCUGGAAAAGGCUUUACUCUCUGAAUGAGAGCAUGAAUUCGAAACAAAUAUCAUGAAUGAAGAAACAAAGGCAUAAUACCACAAAAAGUAAAACUUUUCCCAGGGCUAUCUGUUUCUGUUUGAACUAAAACCAAUGGAAACCGAUGGAAAUGAAUUUCUAGGAAUUAGACAUAUCAGCCAAAACAGGUACUCUGUACAAGCAAAGUAAAAUAGGGUUACAAAAAAUUUUAAGAUUGAUAUGAUAAUUAAAAUUUCAGUCACCAUAUAAUUAAUAGAAAACUUUGGACACAAUGAUUUAUUGCAUAUUAAGAUUGCUAUAUAAAAUAUAAUAUUAGCAUUAGGAGACCGCACCGAAGCAUACCGAAUUGAAUGUGCCUUUUCACAGCCAUUUUACAAGCUUUGAAGCUUCACCACAAAUGCUUUUUCCAACCCGUGAACAUGGUGCACCCGAGAGAUGCAAGCUAUGAAAUUGUUACUACAGCAAGCGUUGGAACAUUUGUUAAAAAAGGAAGUUUAUGAAAAUACGCCUUUGGAUACCAGUCUUCAGGAAUCAAUUCAUCCGUAAUAACAAUUUUCAAGAAUUAUCAACUGCUUUAAGCUCAUCGACAUCACAAAGAUCUCAACUAAAAUAGAGCAGAUCCGGCCAUCACUAUCCCUUCUACUGCUCUUUUCCUUUAGAGAAUGAUUGAAUUACAGAAUGCGUGUAAGGCAUUCUUAUUCAAGGUCCAAUGAUCAAACCUUGCACUAUAACAACAGAGGUAGUAGUUUCUUCGCCAGCCUAAUCCUUGGUCUCAGGAAUGUCCUCAACAGAGUACUCGAAAUCAACCUAAAAAUUAAGAAUGAGUUGGAAAACUGUUUAUGGCCCUAAAGAACUUGAAAAUAAGAAAAGAUUAAGAAUGAGUGACUAAACAUUUAAUCGCAACUAAACAUACAAACCUUGAAAAUCUAACUUUGAAGUACUCUUGAAUGAAUGAGCAGUUGCACGAGCUGGUGACAACUAAGGUUACUGUGAAGUCUCUUACAAAUCCUUAAAGAUGAUACUUUACAUACCACGAUAACCUGAUAACACAUAGGAACACAAUAAACAUUAAAGUGUAUUCUGACAAUGCAAAUUUGUGGAAAUCAUCAGCUGUGGUUACCUGGACAAUAUUGCCAACACCAAACUCCUUCCUCAAUUGAAACAUAUGAUCAGCCCACAAAUGCUUUGCUUUGUAGCUUUUGAGAGCCUGAAAUUGUUAUCACAACCAACAAUGAAAAUUGGGUGAAAAAAUUGAUAAUAUUAGCUUAAUUCCAUAUGUUUAUAUAGGAUAAACCGAUCAAAGAAUGAAAAAAGAUAGAAACAGAGCAGACCCAGCCAUCACUUUCUUCUUCAAAGUCGCACCAUAACCACAGUGGUAGUCGUUCCACUGCCAGCCUAAUCCUUGGUCACCCCAAUGUUCUCCAUGAAGUAUUCAAAGUCAACCUAAAAAUAAAUAAAAAUGCAAUGCAGGUGGAAAUGAAAAUUCUAUAAAUUAAAUAAAAUAAAAAUGCAAUGCUUGAGCUUGAGCUUGCUUUAGCAUCAUCGUAAUAGUAAAUUUUGAUAUAUCUUUACUUCUCUGUUCUUGUUUAUUCACAACAAGAUAUCAAUAGAAGAAGAUGGAAAUGAAAUUCUAUAAAAUAAAGCAAGUGAAUUACCAACAGAACAUUUUAGCAAUCCUUUGGCUAAACUUUUCAUUUUCUUAGCAUACUCUCCUGCCUGGUGAACAUAAUUAAACAAGUAUGAAAUAAAACAAAGUGGGCUAAUGUAGUAAAAACAAUAACACAAUUACUUUAAAGAAUUAAUGUCACGUAUAUUAUAUAUAAAAAAAUACGAUUAUCAUUAUAUAAGAUAAAAUUGAUAAUUUAGUUUUCAACAUUACUGCAAACGUAUCACAGAGAUUUUGUUACACAUAACAAAUUUUCGUACAUAUGAAAAUAAAUUACAUUGCAUGAAAUUUUACAAAAGAGCACAUAUUUUUUAAAAGUAAAUAAAUAUAGAAAUUUCAACAGACUACACUUGUAUUUUUUUUUAAUUAUUUAAUCUUUAGAAAACAAGUUUAACAGAUUUGAUAACUAGGAAGUUUUACGUAUUUAUACCAUGAUUGAUUCUAUAUAGAAUUUUAAUUCAAAAUAUAAUUAUUUUUAUUAAUUUCAUUGCAAGCAACAACGAAGUAAAUUAGAGGAGGAGGAGAAAUUACCGGCGAGUGAUAAAUUACCGCGACCACUUGAUGUGGGGAAUGCGAGAUAUCUUAUGCCAGUCUUCUCCUUUCCCCUCUCUAUAACGGUUUUCCAGAAGAGGACAUCUGUCAAUAGUCAAUUCCUGCAGCGUCGUCGUCCGAAGAAGGUAAUCCGGCAGCACCUUUAAUUUGGGGCAAUACUCAAUUACCAAGGAAGAAAGACGUGGUAUGUCUGUUGUCCUGUGAUCUUCUAGAAUGGGCAGUUCUUCCAUAUUUGCACAAAAAGAAAUCCUCAGUUUCUGCAGUGCCGUCGUUCGAAGAAGGUAAUCCGGCAGCGCCUUCAAUUUGUUGCAAGAACGAACUUCCAAGGAAGAAAGACGGGGCAUGAUAGAGAUGUUUUCCUUCCUCGUAAUCCUGUAAUUCCACUCUUCCAAUUCUUCCAUGUCCCAAAUUAUGAGUGAUUUCAAUUUGGGGAAGGCAGUAACUGAUGAUGAUGAUGAAGAUGAAGACGGGCCAUCCUCACUGCUUUCUUCUAUUCCCAAAAACUCAUUACCCACUCUUUUUACACUUUUCAAGUACCAUAGUUCGAGUUUUUCCAGAGGCAAUUUUCCCAAAGGAGGCAAAUGCUCACACUUAAGGCACGAGCGAAGAUAUAAAUUCCUUAGAUUGGUCAGUGAAGUCAACCAUUUGGGAAAAAUGUUGCGUCCAUAUAAUAUAAUCCCUAAUUUCUCUACACUCAAAGGCGGUUGUAAGGCUUUAAGAAGUUGUUCAUCUUUCUCUUUCUUCCUCCUCCUUUCUUCAUCUUCCCCAUCUACGACUCUACCAAACUCAAGACGCAAACGAAGGAGGUUUUGCUGAUUGUAAAGUUGUAAUCUCUCGACCUCAUCUAAACGGGACACAUUACCCAGCCCUUCAAUUCCACAUUCUCGAAGGAGUUGAAGAUUUUUCAGAGAUUCAAGCCUACAAGUAUUGCUACCAUCAACACCUCCACCCACCACAAACUUGUCUAAUGUUCGAAGACUGGUUAAUUUGGAAAUCCCUACUGGCAUGUAUUUCAACGAAUAAGUUUCAGCAUUCAGUAAACUCCUCAUGUUCUUUAACUUCCCAAUCCCCGCUGGCAAUUCUUUAAGAUUUCGGCACCGCCUAAUAUCUAGCUUUUGUAAAUUAUAUAAUUCACACAAAGUCUUAGGUAGUCUCUCUAUGCCUAAUUCAGACAAAUUAAGAUAUCUUAAAUGUAUCAAUUUUCCGACAUUUUUUGGAAUUUCUCUAAUCAAACUUGAGUGAAGACGAACAGGCGAGGAUGAUAGCCUUAUAACUAAUGAUUCCCUUAUAACUAAUGCCCUCAAACAUGCCAAUUUACUAAAUAACUUUCGAGUUUCUCUAAUCUUAUAUGUGUUUGGACAAAAACAUAGGCGCAACAGCCUUAUAACUAAUGCCCUUAAACAUUCUUUGCUACUACUAAAAGACGAAAGGAUGCUACUAAGAGACAGAUUGAAAUCACUUCUAUCAUAAAUUAAAAGGGUACGCAAUCUAUCAAGUCCACGAAUGGAUAUAGGAAAUGAAGUGCCUCUUUGAAAAUUUAACCCUAAGUGACGGACUUUGUCACCAAAAGAGUUUAUGACUGAGUCUUUGGUACCAUUAAUUUCUACCCACAAACAUUCUUUUCUACUUACAAAUUGGGCAAAAUCAUGUAUUAUGUCAUGCAUCUUGCAGCUCAUAAUAUCAUCAUCAUCAUCUUUUUUAAACUCUUGAAAGAAAGAGCGUGCUGCUAAAAUGUUGAAAUACUCUUCCCCAAUCAUCUCCAUCUCUUCGUCUUCUUCUGUAUUAAGAUAACCUUGAGCCAUCCAUAGUGAAAUUAGUUCCUCUUUAUUCAUAUUGUAGUUUUUUGGAAAGACAGCACAAUAUGAGAAACAUUGUUUUACCAUAGAAUUGGAGGGCAAAUCGUUAUAACUCAACAACAAAGGAGCUAAAAGACCUUGCCCAAUUGCUUCUACUUUCCACAUUUCACUCUCUAAAAUUCUUUGCCACUCUUUUACUGUACUUUUAGAGCGCAAGAGAUUCCCUAUUACCUUUGCAGCAAGAGGCAGGCCUUUGCACUUAUGUGCAAUUUUGCGCCCGAUUGGUUCUAAUUUUUCACGAUCCUCAAAGGACCUACGUAGAAAUGCCAUCUGCUUAAACAGUAACCAACAUUCCCCUUCUCCCAACUCCUUGACAGGGAUAAUAUCUAUUGAUCCCAACUGUAGUGCAACUGACCUAUCACGUGUGGUAAUUAGAAUUUUACUUUCAUGGUGGCCAUUCUUUAGACAAGAAAAGAAUGGGUCCCAUUUUUUGUAAUCUACAUCCCACACAUCAUCUAAAACAAGAAAAAACUUUUUUCCUUCAAUUGAUGUAUGGAUAUGGCUCAUAAGAGAUUGGAAUUCGCUUAAAUCAUAAGCUUCUUUUGACUUGCCUAGACCUUCAAUGAUUGCUUUGGCAACCCUAAUCCUCUCAAAAGUGUCUGAUACACACACCCAUAUAACUUUUUCAAAAUUUCUUUUCACCUCAUCAUUAUUAUAGGCCAGUUGUGCAAGAGUGGUUUUACCUAUACCCCCUAACCCAACUAGUGAGAUGAUAUGAAGGCCUUCUUGUUGUUCACUACUUUGACACAACAACUUGCUUAAGAGCUCAUCUUUCUCAUUAACUCUACCGCAAACCUCUCCCUCAUCAAUCAAGGAGGUGGUUCGCACUCGCUCUGGUUUCUUGACAUUGUUACUCACAUUCUCAACAAAUUUAAACAUAUCUUUUCGAGUGGCAAUACCAUCUAGCUUUUCAUUGAUUUCCCUAAUCUUGACAGCAAUGUCAUGACGAAGACUGAGUUGUUUGAAACUGCCACAGCAGUUUGAUACAGCACAAAAGAAGGAACGUACCUUCUUCUUAUGAACGCCCUCAAUCUGCAAUUUGAGCCUUGCAGUGGUCCACUCCUCCAACACAUCUUCCAUGUCGUAAGAUGCGUCUUUGAGCUGAUCCAGCCAAAAAGUAACAUCUUUCUCGUGCUGCAUUUGCCUUUUCUCUGCAUCUUCCAGCACAAGUUGAAUGGCUUGUAGAUUGCUGGUGAGCUUUUUCACUUCUUCGUCGACACCAGUAACAAGCCUCACCUGUUGUUUCAGUUCAUCAGUUGCAACUGAGCUCAGCUGCUCCAGGAGAGAGGAAACGAUCGCAUCAACCAUUCUGACAAAGAAGAUGAGAAUUCUGAAGAGUUAUUAGAUGUGCUUUUGUUGCGAAGAUAUGAAAGAAAGGAGUUAUUGCAUUCUUUUAUACUGCAUAGAAAAGGUUUAUGCUUAUCCCCACCCCACACGUCAAUGAUUGUAGAAUGUUUAAUUUCCCUGAUUCUACUCCACUAGUUGUGAUGCGUAAUUAUAAAUAUUCUCAAGUUAUGUAUGAAAAUCCCACAAAUUUGGAUCUAGUAAUGAUUUUUAUGUAUUUUUUCAUAAUCUUCUAAAAUACUAUAUCUGCAUGUUAUUUCGUGCAGAAAUAUGGCAUUGGGUGAAAAAAGUUAUGCUUAUCCCCACCCACACGUUAGUAAUUGUAGUAGCAUCUGUAAUUUCCAUGAUUCUACUCCACGGACGAACACAUUUUUUGUACUAACAUCUUUAAAUUCCCACACGUUAGGAAUUUGGCACAUAAUCUCAAACUCGUCGCAUCUUUAACGUAUGAGGUUGAUGAAUAAAUUCUUUUCUCAUAUCAAUUUAAAACUCCGAGAUUAUGUGCCAAAUUCCUAACGUGUGGGAAUUUUACCUCCUAAGUAAUCCGGCCCACUGCCAAGUGCCAACUUUUUCUCUGUCGAGUUAAUGAUGUUGUUUUGUUUUCCUUGUUUUAAUUAAUGUUGCGGAGAGAAACAGAUCGAUGCAAAUGGCUAGCCAGGUUUUGCAGAAACCGUGAAUGGUCUUGCAUGCAUGUGACAUAAAGCUUUAUAUAUAGCUUAUUCCUCCAUCAACAUUUCAAUGGUUCCAUCUCACGUGCACUUGGCUAUGAAUAAGGUCCAUGCAUGGAUCGAUCGAUUUAGGAGUUUGGACCAUCUCAUGCUGCAGAGUUAUGUGUCAUGUAUGUGUGUUGACACUUGCCAGUUCAUUUUUGUUAUAAAGAUUAUUGAUACUCGUAAAUGUACUACUUACAAAUCAUAAAUUUUGAGUUUGACACUUUAGUUUCAUUUUGUAAUCCCUACGCUCUUUAAAUAUUUGUAAUAAUAUAUUUCAAACUUUAACUCAGACGUAAUGAAUGAAGGGGGAUCCUCUUCUUAUAUAAAUUUUUAUUUUUUAACGUUCAAGUUACAUUUGAUUACGUGUACUUAUUAUCUAGUUUUGACUAUCUAAUGACAUUUGAUUACGUGUACUUAUUAUAUGAUUUUUUUUUAAAUGAUGGGUCUGGUGAGAUUUUUUACAUCUUGGAUUAGUAGGUCAAGAACGGGCAGGGCAGGGCCUUCUCUGAAGUCAAUCUUGUGAGCAACACCAGCUUUUUGGAUAAUUGGCAGCCCCAAUUCAUAAUUUUCUCAGUUGAUGUCCAUGGCCAAAAUCUGCAACCGAAGCUUAUUCUACUCUUAUUAAUCGAGAGAUAAUUUUAUCUCUAACUAAUUUAAUUGGGAGGAAAAUUGAGAGAGAUAUCCACUCUGUCCUUAUUAAUUGAGAGAUAAUUUUACCCUUACCCAAUUUAAUUGGAAAGGAAAUCGAAUUCCAACAAUAACUAGGACUUGAAUCCAUGCACUUAAGCUAACUUUAAGUUUUAGGAUGCAUGGUUAUAAUGUUCUUUAUUUAAAUCCUAACAAAUGGUGGGACUUGAACUUGUGCCUACAAACAUUGAGUGCUUAGGGGCUGCAAAAUUUCAUAACUUAAUUUUAGUUGAUGUGGUAUGUGCCCUAUCACAUAAAUAUGUAGAUAAUAAUAAUUAAUACAUUAACAAAAUGAAAAAUAUUAGUUUACAAAAUACAAAUCCAAAUUUUUUGUGUGACAAGGGACUUAAAAGGGAGAGACUAAACAAAUGUGGUGAAAACGACAUGUAUUACUAAAACUAAAAAUACGAAGUCUAGGCAAUUGAAAACAUCGGGUUUUUUAUUUAAAUAUCCCCAAUUUGUCCUUAAAUACCAAAUUUAUACCCUAUUAUAUACAUAUACCUCACGAAGAUAGGGAAAAUAAAAAAUAACCUUAAAAAAAUCAAGAAUCCACACAUUUCUUCCUCUCAGUGCAGGAAGAUGUCGAGUACGAAGUCGGGUAAGUCGAGAAUUUAGUCGAGCAAGAAUUGGAGAUAAGUAAGUUGAGUAUAUGGUCCAGUAGGAAGUUGAGUAAGCAUAUUAAAUGAGUCCAGUAUUAAGUGGUAGAGUAUUAAGUAAAAGUCAAGUAAAUUUUUUAAACAAGUCAAAUAAAAUUUAUGUAAUUUUUAAAGAGGUUGAGUAUUAAGUCGGGUUAGUACAUUGGGUCGAGUGUUAAUAUUUUUAAAGAAGUGAAGUCUGGUAAGUUGAGCAUUCAGUCGAGUAAGAAGUUAAGGCAAUUGAAUAAGUCGAGUCUCUAGUCGAGUACGAAGUCGGGUAUAAAGUCUGGUAAGUUGAGCAUUCAGUCGAGUAAGAAGUGAAGGCAAUUGAAUAAGUCGAGUGUCUAGUCGAGUACGAAGUUGGGUAUGAAAUCUGGUAAGUUGAGCAUUCAGUCGAGUGAGAAGUGAAGGCAAUUGAAUAAGUCAAGUAUCUAGUCGAGUACGAAGUCGGGUAUGAAGUAUGGUAAGUUGAGCAUUCAGUUGAGUAAGAAGUGAAGGCAAUUGAAUAAGUCGAGUACGAAGUCGGGUAUGAAAUAUGGUAAGUUGAGCAUUCAGUCGAGUGAGAAGUUAAGGCAAUUGAAUAAGUCGAGUAUCUAGUUGAGUACGAAGUCGGGUAUGAAGUUUGGUAAGUUAAGCAUUUAAUCGAGUAAGAAGUGAAGGUAAUUGAAUAAGUCGAGUAUCUAGUUGAUUACGAAGUCGGAUCUGAAGUCUAGUAAGUUGAACAUUCAGUUGAGUAAGAAGUGAAAACAAUUGAAUAAGUCGAAUAUCUAGUCGAGUAAAAAGUCGAGUAAGUAGAUUGAAUGAGUAGGGUAUUAAUUUUUUGUUGGCAUUUUAUUGAGGCUAUUUUUGUACUUUCUUUGGUUUUUUAAGUAUGUAUAUGCAAAGUACAGAUUUUAAUAGAUGGAUGUAUAUUUUGGGUAUUACGAGAGAAACGGGGUAUAUCCCACGCAAUUCCUUCGAAAACAUCUCUGUCAAUUGCAAUGAACAGAUCACAACCCUUCAUAAUUAAACAAAAUCAAACUUGAAAAAAAAAAUCACACACACACACACAAAACAAUCACAAAAACUAUUUGUUCUGAUCAUCCCUGCUUUUUUUUAGCGUAGCUCUUGGAAUGAAAAUUAACAAAAAGUGUCAAAAGAGAAGCAUUAAACACAGCAUUGAAGCACCAGCCCAAAAUCCCAGAGCAACCAAAUCCCGUAAAAUGAUAAUACAGCAUCAAAACCGAAACAACAAAACUAAACACAAACUGAACAAUCUAACAAUCAGUGACCAAUCUCUUCCACUUUGGCCGCAACCCCAUCACACACAAUAGAUAGUACCCGUACAUGAUCACAUGCACACUUGCAUUAGUCACAAGUGCAAUAGGAAACAAAGACUGCUUCGUCUGUAACCAAAGGUAGCACAUUACGACGACGGUUGCAUGGUGGUAGACGUGGAGGAACGUGAGCCAUUGGAUGGAUUUUGACAAAAUGAUCAAAAGGGUGUCUAAGAAUUCGAGUAUUUUGGAGAGGUAGAAGAGGUAAGCGUAGAAGAAGAGGGGGCCAGACGGAGAAAUGGUGGGGGGGAAACAGAGGGUGUAAUGGAGGUGGGGCAAAUGGACGAUGAUGGAGAGAGUGCAGCCAACGGCCAUGAUGAGGGAGAGGAGGAGGAGGGUGAGGUUAUGGACGGCUGUGAUGGGCUUGAGGAUGUGGGGUCCAAUGAGAGGUGAUGAUGAUGGUGAUGUUGAUGUUGAUAUGUGGUAGAGGAUGAAUGUGAGGGAGAGGUAAGUGAGGAUGGAGAGAAUGAGGAAGUGUGGGGAAGAAGCUAGUGUUUGGUUCUGAGUCCAUGUGAAGCUGAGGAUUUGGGGGUGGUUUACAAGACAAUAUUGGAGUGUUGAGGUGAUUGAAUUUGAAGCCAUGGCUAGUUUUUGGGGGAAGAAAGAUUUUGGAAGAGAUGAUGUUGAGAUGAACGGGGGAGUUUAUAAAGUUUUGGGAUAAUGUGGAGGGUAUUUUGGACAUAUUGUUGUCUCAGCUUAAAUUUUGGGAAAAAGAUGAUCAAUAAGAAGCUCUUUUUUUCAUAUCAAUUUAAAACUCCGACGGUGUUUCCAAAAAUUGUUUUUCUUUUUCCGUUUUUUAAUUUUAAAUCAUAAAUUUAGUAAAAGAAGUUGAAUCAAGUGAUCACUUUUUUUUUAAUGUAAAACAAUUAAUUUCUUUUGUGAUUUAAGCAAAUAUUGAGUUGCAUACUUUAAAUAUAUUAAUAUUUGAUUCGAAAUUUCAUCUACCGAAACUACAAAAAUUAAUAUUUUCUAUUAAAUCAAAACCAAAAUUAAAGAUGACUCCUUGUCUGCCAACUGUCAUUAAACAAAGCCAUCACUCACGUGAAAAAAAAAAGUGAUAUAUUCAUUUUAACGUAAUUUCAUACCAACAUAUCAUUCUUUUUUUUCCAAUAAUGACCUCUUUAAUUAUAAAAUAUGGUAAAAGGGGAUGGGUUCGAGGUAUGGCGUCCGGGCCUUUGUGACAACGGUAUCUUUGGACGUGGGUGUCGUUAGAUUUUUGGCUAUUUUCUGGUCAAUCAAACUGGUGGAUCACAUGCAUUUUAAUGACCUCUUUAAUUAUAAAAUAUGGUAAAAGGGGAUGGGUUUAAGGAAUGGCGUCCAGGCCUUUGUGACAAAGUUGGAUGUGGGUGUCAUUAGACUUUUGGCUAUUCUGCUCAAUCAAACUCGUGGAUUACAUGCACUCAACGCGGACAUUAUGGAAAUGGGAGAAAAUUAUGUUAGUAAUAGCAUCUUCAAAAGUUUCUAUACAUUUUACUCUUUAAAUAUUUAUUUACUUAUUUAUAUGAUAAAUAGAAAGGUAAAAAAAUAUAUUAUUCUCCAAAAAACUCUUCAAAUAAAAAUAAGUUAAUAUUAUUUUAAUCAAAUAAUUAUUUUUUAAAGGAAAAGUUAACAGCAAUUAAAGCACUUCUCUUUCUCUCUCUAAUAAAAAGUAAUAAAAUAUUAAUUGAAGUGUUUUUUAGAACCUUAAAUGUUGAUGUGACUCUUCAAAUAAGUAAUAAAAUCUUAAUUGAAGAGCCUUUUGGUGAUGGUUUAAAACCCACUGUUUCGUUCUAAACUAAGUGAAUUUAUCUCGUGAGCUAAGUAGUUUAGGAGAUAACUCAAAUAAUUAACUUUUUAUUAGUUUAAUAAUAAGAAUUUUCGAUUAUAUUUUAAAAGUAUAAUUCAUUACAAAAAAUUACUUAAUAAAAAUAACUGUUAUUUAACAUAUUACAUUUUUUCAAUAAUAAAAUAAUUCAAAUUUUUAAUUAUUAUAACAAAAAAAUUUGUAAUAUAAUCCAUUCAUAUACCACAUCACGUAAAAUGUAACCUAGUACUACAUGUAAUCUUGUUACUACUAUUCCUAUAAUAUUCUACCACAUCAUAUACUAUCAAAUUCCAUCCGGCAUGCCAAAUGUGCAAAGUUUGAGUAAGACUUGUUAAAGUUGAGUAACAUCUUAUAUGGCCAAGCGCAUUGAGUAUGGAUUUGCAUGAUCGAGUGAGUACAACUAAAGUCGGGUAGAGUCUGGAAAAUCCCUAUAAUGUUGAGGUUGGAGAACUAUACUUUUUAAGGUACAUAAUUAAACAAUUUUGGUAAAUAUUUACUAUUAUAACUUAAAAAUUAAUUUGAUUUGAUCUCAUAUAUUAUUAUAAUAAAAAAACUUAUAAUAUCUUUAUUAAUUUUAUUAAAAAUUAUUAUUUAGAAGUCAUAUAUUUAUUACACAUUGUCAAAUUUCAGCUUUUUGUUUUUAACAACAGCUAGUAAUAUCAAACAAGACCUAAGUUGAGUAUGAUCAAUUAAUUAAAAUUAUGAUUUUUUUUUGUAUAAAAUAAUCAUUAGAUAAUUAGUCUGUAAAGAAUAUCGGCUACUUCAAAUGGAAACUUGCGAUAAAAAAUGCAUCACAAAAGUAACAAUGACACACUAUAUAAGAAAUCUGAAAUAGAAUUUGCAAAAUUGAACUGAGUUACGGAGAGUAAAUAAGACUCCAAAGGAACAUGGCAAUUAUUAUUAUCUAGGAAACAAUUCAUAGCUAAAACAAAAUUAACUAUACUUGCCAGGAAAUAUGGCGAAUUCCACCACCUCCUACAAGUUCUUAGGUGUCUUAGAGUUUGAUGACGACUUCCAUGCUGUGUCUCUUCGACAGGCAGCAAAAUUGGGCAAUUGACUACAUUAACUCCAAGAAAUUUAUGCAGUCACCUUCCUCCGGACUAUCCUCUUUCUUUGAGCUUUGGUUGCCCCUAUUUCCCCUUCAAUAGAGUCAUCACUGUUUUGUUUGAAGCCAAGGAGCCCAAGAUCAGAAAAAUGGCAUUCUUUGGUAUCAAUCCCUCGAUCCCCAAGUCACGUCACUAACUUUCUGUUGAUCGCGUAGCUAGUUCAUGUAUGCCACAGCAGCGGAAGGUAGCCUGAAGAAGAAAAAACCUCUCUCUCUUUCUUGCUCAGUAACCACCUGGGCACUUUUGUGCUGAGCCAUGACAUCCUGAGAUGGCCUGUUGUGUAAGCCUUCUUCAAAAGGUCAUCUGUCGAUCUUUCUCCUAAUUAGACAUCCAAAACCCAGCAUGGAAUCCAUUUGAGAAGGUGGACAAUAGACAAACUCCAACGCAUACAGACAGUAAAGAAGAAUUUAGACCGCAAUCACUGUGGCUGAAUAAAUGGGCCUAUUAAGCCUAUUAAAAGUUGGAACCAUAUUCACCACUCGCAGUUCCUUAGAGAACUUUAUCAGAAUUCUGAAAAUUUAAAACUAUUCUUACAUAUUUAACUGUAAAACAAGAGAAAUUGUACUUCCGUAGCAAAGUCUCACUAUUGGUAAGUAUCUGGACUUGGAAAGGAUGCUAGUUGAUUAAGUAAAGGAAAAUUGAAAUCAGACUUUGAGGUGAUAGAUCUAUAUACACUUUAAUCGGAACCACAUUAACAUCAUAUGAGCCAAACAAACAAAUUCCCCAGUCAAAGUUCAACAAACAAAACAUUAAAACAAGAGUAAUUUGGUGUAUCAAUGUAUAUAUAGAGAUGUCGAUCAUUGACAAAUACGUAAAAGAGGGAGGGAGAGACCUCAAAGCCGUGCUUAACAACAUUGCUACUCCAAUAACUUCAAAAUGGUUGGCGACGUCUCUAUCAAAGCCACACAAUAGCUGAUAUCUCAUGUUUGCAUGUAGUCCAAUGAAAGCACCAUAACCAAGAACAUUAGUACUCACAGAUGGGUUUGUCACAGAUAACCUGUCAGGCAAUAAAAAUUGCCCAAAUUAAACAAAUGUUAGACCGGCUUAGACAGUAAACGGAACAAUAUUCUAAUUUUACUUUAUUUAUAACGAAUAAGUGAACAAAGGAAUGAAAAGGAAGUUUGGCAACAGUCUUUUUACCAGCCAGAUAGUUUGACAAAGAAUCUUGCACUGCUCCUGCAGCUAAUCCCACCAUACACAACUCUGCAGUCUUGUUUGGGAGUCAAAAUUCUCAAAAUGGGUAACUCUGUUCAAAUAUACUGUUUGGGAACUUUUGUAAUGUAUUUUGCAAGUCAAACAGGAAGGUAUUUCCAUAAGAAGGUUCACUUCACAUGCUCAACAAUUCAAAUUUGCGGAUGAUAUUUCUCAAAAUGGAGGGCUCUAUUUGGCUUGCCAACAAUCUUCCUCACCAUUAUCAUCCUUGCUAUACCGGUUAAACUGAACAGUCUUCAUUCUGACAUUUGCCCUAUUAACCUGAGUACACAAGAAUCCGAAACAACUGUUAGAAAUUAUAAUCUUUAUAUAUAGCCAAAAUGUUGAAUAAGAUGAUGUACUUGAUAAUAAAUACCUGAGUUAAUAAAUAAUUAAGGGGCCGGUAACAAUGUCAGCAUCUUAUCAAGUGGGGAAAGCCUACGCAACGAAGAUGCUGCCUGCUUUCAAGAAAUAAUAACUUUCCAAUUCCAUAAGGUAGGUUAAUGCCCUUUUAAAAAUAUCUCCACCAGCCUAACAAUUAUUCAUUGAAAUGUGUGAGUGUGAAUUCGAACGAAUUAAUCAAAUAUGAUGACACGAGAAAGAAAAUUAAAAUAACCACAAGAAGUAGAAAUAUACUUUUGUUAUAUUUAGUGCAUCUUCUGUGUGUGCUCAAACGCAAUGCCUCAAGGCGCAAGAUAAUUUUAUGACCAUCAAUCUUUUGCAGCCAUAUGCAGACUUGAAACAUUGGCGGUGGUUCUAAGGAACUUGAAAAUUAGAAAAGUUUCAAAAUGAGUGACUAAAUAUGAUAAUCGAAAUUAAUUAAAUAUACACGCCUUGUAAAUAUGAAACUAAAUUACUCAAAUGUAUGUGCCUCUUCGCAGCAAUUGCUCGUGGUGGAAACUUUACUGCAAAGACUUCCUCAAACCCUUGAAGAUCACACUCUUCCUGGCAACAAAGAAACAGAGUCGAUAUACGAAGAUGAUUUUACUAACAAGUGAGAGCUUGCAAAUAUUGGAAGGAUAACGAUUGCUCAUAACCCAAAUCCCCAAUACCCUCUAAUAUCUCACUCGAGUGAGUUCAAGCCCCCAAAAUUCACUACAGUGAAACUCUCGAAACAAAAUUCUCUUCAAAUAUUCUCAACUCAAAUUUGAUAAUGAUAUCUCUUGAAGGAAGGCAAAAAAUCUAACACUGAUCAAAUUGGCUUGUGAACAAUUAAUGUUCCUGGCCAUCAUUCAUACUAGGUGUGGCGAACAAUUAAGCUGCUUAGUAUCCUGAACCUGAUAACUUACACAAACAAAAACAACUUGCCUAAAGUUUAAUAUUUAGAGGCAGAACGGUAAAGAAGAAGAUAUAUAUUGAUACUAAAAUUUGACUUGCGUUACCCUGAUGUCAAGAAUAGCGGGAUCUCAUGUGGGCAAAAUCUUCGCAAUACGAGAUGCUUGCAAAAUUGAAGCAGCAUCUUAUCACCUGUAAUUUAAUUAAGAUAAUAACUUUCCCCGACUAUUUCAAUGCAUUAUUGGCAACUAAAUUCAGAGGGCGCUAAUUAAAUACCCUUUUAACAAUAUCUUCUUAUUCUUCUCUAAUCUAGCAGUUAUUUGGAAAAUCUAAAUGACAGUCAUGCAUCAAUGGCGUCAAAAUUUGGCUACAAAGCAGCCUACAAAAGGCUUCACCCUCUGAAUGAGAGCAUGAAUUCGAAUAAUAUGAUGAAUGAAGAAACAAAGGCAUAAUACCACAAGAAGUCAAACUUUUCCCCAGAGCUCUGUUUCUGUUUGUGCUAAAGCAAAUGGAAACCAGUGGAAAUGAAUUUCUAUGAACUAGACAUAUCAGCCAAAACAGGUACUCUGUGCAAGCAAAGUAAAAAAGAGUUACAAACAAAUUUAAGAUUGAUAUGAUAAUUAAAAUUUCAGUCACCAUAUAAUUAAUAGAAAACUUUGUACACAAUGAUUUAUUGCAUAUUAAGAUUGUAUACCUAAAUUUUAAUUGCUAUGCAAAAUAUGAUAUUAGCAUUAGGAGACCGCACCAAAACGUACCGUAUUGAAUGUGCCUUUUCACAACCAUUGUACAAGCUUUGAAGCUUUGGCACAAAUGCUUUUUCAAACCCAUGAACAUGAUGCACCCGAGAGAUGCAAGAUAUGAAAUUGUUACAACAGCAGGCAUUGAAACAUUUGUUAA